AUAAAAUCAAAGUUUCAUCAGGGCUGUGUUCCCUUUGGAGGCCCUGGAGGAAAAUCAUUUCGUUGCCUCUUCCAGCUUCUUGAGGCCUCCUGCAUUCCUUGGCUCAUGGCCCCUUCUUCCAUCUUUCAAACCAACAAGUCUUUCUCAGGCUGCACUGCUCUGACGCUCCUCCUCUGUAAUCACACCUCUGUCUGCCUCCCUCGUCUAAGGACACCAGUGACCACAUUGGACUGACCUGCAUAAUCCAGGCUCGUCUUCCCACCUCAAGAUCCUCAAUUUAUCACAUUCUGUGGCGUCCUUUUGCCAUGUUGGGAAUAUAUUCACAAUUUCCAGGGACUCAGACGUCAACAUCUUUGGAAGGGCCAUUAUUCAGCCUACCAUGUAGUACAUCCUUUUAAAAACACACAUAUCCAAUCCCAUUACUCCUCUGCCUAAAAUUCUUAGACGAUGAGAGCCUCUCAGGGCUGGAGGUGCCAUACAAGGGCUGCCCACACCCCUUCCCUGCCUCUCCCUACCUCCUCUGUCCCUACCCAGUCUCUGGCUUGCUGUCUGUGUUCCAGCCUUUGCACAGGAUAUAUUUUUUACCCCACACUCCAUUCCAGGCCUUCCCGAGGCUUCAGACAAGAUGGCAGCACGCUCUGGACUUCUCUGCCCGGCAAGCAGCCCUGAGGCUGGACAGCAGGGAAGCAAGAAAAUGGACUCCCCUCUGCAGCCUGCAAUGGUCACGUGGCUGGUCGAGGUUGGAUCUCCCAGAGACCAGGGCAUAUACAUACAUGUGUGCCCUGGCCCGAAUCCUCAGAUCACCAAGGCUUUGGCCACCUCCACCCUUGUGUGACACUGUGAGUCUAUACGUGACUGCAUUUGUUUGUCAGUGUCACUCCCUGGGCUGAACCGAUAAGGGGGUGAAGGGGGACUUUGGGUAAGUCGCUUCCCAGCCUUUCGGAAGCCCUGGGAAAGCAGCGGCAGGCACCCUGCCAGGCCUCUGUGGUCCGCACUGCGGCAGUCCAGGCACGAUCCAAGAGCUGCAGACACUGCCCUGGGGAGUUUCGGAGCUACAGGUCCCUGGGCAAGACUUUCCUCCCAAGUGGGAGCCACAGGGCUGAUCGUGAUCCAGGCAGGCAUCAGCACAGCUGCUGCCACAGCACAAGUUGACUCUUGUCACCCCCCUGAUCCUCUAGCGCAGGCAGAAGGAUAUGAGGCCUCGGUCUGUACCGUAGUUUUCCAUUCAUUCCUUUGCUCACUCCUUCACAGAGUACCCAGCAAAUAAGUAAGCACCUAAGAUGUCCUGAGCGAGCUUGAGGCAACACACAAAACAACCCAGGUCCCUGGGUUGCCCUUGCUUGACCCUUCUGGUCUCACCUGUGGAAUUUGACUAGGCAGAGCAUCCUUGUCCAGAGGGAGGGAGAAAGGAAAAAAACAAGUUAUUGAGGGUCUUUCUCAUCUUGGUGGUCUCUGAUUCUGUAGACAGAUCCCACAGAAUAUUCUUUAAUGGAUUAGGCAUAUCCCUUAAAUCAUGUCCGGGGGUUGGGUUGCGAUCUGUAUUUCUAUUAU
This is a long non-coding RNA of Suricata suricatta (meerkat), 1551 nucleotides long. Lineage: Eukaryota; Metazoa; Chordata; Mammalia; Carnivora; Herpestidae. The record is from Ensembl.